AAUAUUCAAAUUUCUUCUUUCAAAAUUCUCAAUCUCGGCCCUGUUCAACUACUAAAUUGGCAGUGAAGCCAACUGAAAAGGAGUUGGAUAUCUAUCACUGGUGUGCUCGGGCUCCACUAAACCUUCCUUGUGUUAUGGCAAUUAGAUUUAUCGUUAAUGGUGCUGACGCCGUAUGAUGGAAUUGUGUGAGAGUAAGCUUGUUGCUGUGAUGGAUCAUAUUAACUGAAUUUUGAAUGCUGAACCAGUCUUGUAUACCUGAGAUUAAAAAAUCUACUGUGCCAUGCUAACUUUGUCAUCAAGGAAAAAGAGACUCUUCCACUGCAAACACUAUUCACAUAUAACCCAUCCCUGACCAACAUGUCUCCCUCUACUAUAAGGGAGAUGGAUGUACCAUUUUUUCCUAUGUGCUUCAAACAGGAACAGAGAUAAUUACCAUCCAAUUUCUUCUCAAGUACACAUUGGAAAACUUUUCUCAGCGGGAAAAUAUACCUCAAAAUGAGUCUUCUUGAAGCAGUAAAAGGAAAAUGGUGGAGUGAAAGGA
Molecule: long non-coding RNA, 541 nt
Organism: Suricata suricatta (meerkat)
Lineage: Eukaryota; Metazoa; Chordata; Mammalia; Carnivora; Herpestidae
Exons: 6
Source: RefSeq, a predicted model, not a curated record